RNAcentral lists this unclassified non-coding RNA (345 nucleotides) under soil metagenome. RNAcentral describes it as "partial contains 5.8S ribosomal RNA, internal transcribed spacer 2, and large subunit ribosomal RNA". The stretch from base 3 to 120 matches the Rfam family "5.8S ribosomal RNA", at positions 37 to 154 of the family's 154-position model. The record is from RNAcentral.
GGUGAAGAACGUAGUGAAAUGCGAUACGUAAUGUGAAUUGCAGAAUUCAGUGAAUCAUCGAGUCUUUGAACGCACAUUGCGCCCCCUGGUAUUCCGGGGGGCAUGCCUGUCCGAGCGUCAUUGCUGCCCUCAAGCACGGCUUGUGUGUUGGGCCUCCGUCCUCCUCCCGGGGGACGGGCCCGAAAGGCAGCGGCGGCACCGCGUCCGGUCCUCGAGCGUAUGGGGCUUCGUCACCCGCUCUUGUAGGCCCGGCCGGCGCUUGCCGACACAUCAAUCUUUUUUCCAGGUUGACCUCGGAUCAGGUAGGGAUACCCGCUGAACUUAAGCAUAUCAAUAAGCGGAGGA